CCUACGGGGGGCUGCAGUAAGGAAUAUUGGUCAAUGGGCGCAAGCCUGAACCAGCCAUGCCGCGUGAAGGAUGACGGCCCUAUGGGUUGUAAACUUCUUUUGUACGGGAAAAAACCUCUGGUCGUGAAUCAGAGCUGAUGGUACCGUAAGAAUAAGCAUCGGCUAACUCCGUGCCAGCAGCCGCGGUAAUACGGAGGAUGCAGGCGUUAUCCGGUUUCAGUGGGCGCAGAGGGUGCGCUAACGGAGCAGUGAAAGCCUACAGCUUAACUGUAGAACUGCCAUUGAUACUGUUAUUCUUGAGUGUUGUAGAGGUAGGCGGAAUGUGUCAUGUAGCGGUGAAAUGCUUAGAUAUGACACAGAACACCGAUCGCGAAGGCAGCUUACCAGGCAACAACUGACGCUCAUGCACGAAAGCGUGGGGAUCAAACAGGAUUAGAUACCCCUGUAGUC
This 450-nucleotide ribosomal RNA is filed under the name uncultured bacterium. RNAcentral describes it as "partial 16S ribosomal RNA". It matches the Rfam family "Bacterial small subunit ribosomal RNA", at positions 338 to 795 of the family's 1533-position model. The record is from RNAcentral.